This 774-nucleotide ribosomal RNA is filed under the name uncultured Neocallimastigales. RNAcentral's name for it is "partial large subunit ribosomal RNA". It matches the Rfam family "Eukaryotic large subunit ribosomal RNA", at positions 24 to 647 of the family's 3401-position model. The record is from RNAcentral. Lineage: Eukaryota; Fungi; Neocallimastigomycota; Neocallimastigomycetes; Neocallimastigales.
UAUCUCUGUAGAGUCUGCAUAUCAAUAAGCGGAGGAAAAGAAACUAACAAGGAUUCCCUUAGUAACGGCGAGUGAAGCGGGAAGAGCUCAAAUUUGAAAUCUUCAAGGUUCUACCUUGACGAAUUGUAGUUUAAAGAAGUGUUUUCUGUUAGUAGAGUGGCAAAAGUUCUUUGGAAUAGGACAUCAUAGAGGGUGAGAAUCCCGUAUUUGGUCAUUCUUUCUAGCUUUGUGAUACACUUUCAACGAGUCGGAUUGUUUGGGAAUGCAGUCCAAAAUGGGUGGUAAAUUUCAUCUAAAGCUAAAUAUUGGCGAGAGACCGAUAGCGAACAAGUACCGUGAGGGAAAGAUGAAAAGAACUUUGAAAAGAGAGUUAAACAGUACGUGAAAUUGUCAAAAGGGAAGCGUUUGACACCAGUGUUGUUUUUCCGAAAAUCAAUUACGAAUGUUUUGUUUUUGAGAAGUUAUGACUUCAUCGGCUUGCUUCUUUCUUUACGAAACUUUCUUAAUGCACUUUUCGGUUAACAAGUCAACAUCAAUUUCUUUUGUUGUAAAAGGGUAAGAGGAAGGUGGCUUACGCUUCGGCGUAAGUGUUUAUAGCCUUUUACCUCUGCAAUCGGAGAGAUUGAGGUCUGCAGCGUAGACUCUUCGGGGUUAGAUACACUUGUGCUAAGCUAUAGCCUUGUAUAGACAACUUGUUGACUAUGCUCAGUCAUGUAGCUUACUCGCUUAUGCUAUUUUACCUACGCUUAGGAUGUUGACGCAUGAGAUAUACGC